CGAAACGUGGCGCAACUGGUAGACGCGCAUGAUUAAGGAUCAUGUCGUUGAGGGUUCGAGUCCCUCCGUUUCGACCA
This 77-nucleotide transfer RNA is filed under the name Deinococcus arboris. Its description in RNAcentral is "Deinococcus sp. HMF7620 tRNA-Leu". It matches the Rfam family "tRNA". From Rfam's summary of the family: Transfer RNA (tRNA) molecules are approximately 80 nucleotides in length. The record is from RNAcentral. Lineage: Bacteria; Thermotogati; Deinococcota; Deinococci; Deinococcales; Deinococcaceae. RNAcentral also lists the same sequence under 1 other name.